Molecule: long non-coding RNA, 1042 nt
Filed under: Piliocolobus tephrosceles (Ugandan red Colobus)
Lineage: Eukaryota; Metazoa; Chordata; Mammalia; Primates; Cercopithecidae
Description: lncRNA (ENSPTEG00000021488.1)
Source: RNAcentral
GGCGAGGAAAGCUCUGGCUGCCUGGGGUCAGGUGGCAGCCCCGGGAGAUGGAGACCCAGUCACACACAGGUGCUUACGGUGGGCACAGCGACUCGGUGCCAUCGUCUGAGUCACACACAGGUGUUUACUGUGGGCACAGUGACUCGGUGCCAUCGUCUGAGACCCAGUCACACACGUGUUUAUGGUGGGCACAGCGACUCAGUGCCAUCGUCUGAGAUCCAGUCACACACAGGUGCUUACGGUGGGCACAGCGACUCAGUGCCAUCGUCUGAGUCACACACAUGUGCUUACGAUGGGCACAGCGACUCGGUGCCAUCGUCUGAGACCCAGUCACAGAUAGGUGUUUACCGUGGGCACAGCGACUCGGUGCCAUCGUCUGAGACCCAGUCACAGAUAGGUGUUUACCGUGGGCACAGCAACUCGGUGCCAUCGUCUGAGAUCCAGUCACACACACGUGUUUACCAUGGGCACAGCAACUCCGUGCCAUCGUCUGAGUCACACACACGUGUUUAUGGUGGGCACAGCGACUCAGUGCCAUCGUCUGAGAUCCAGUCACACACAGGUGCUUACCAUGGGCACAGCGACUCCGUGUCAUCGUCUGAGUCACACACACGUGUUUACGGUGGGCACAGCGACUCCGUGCCAUCGUCUGAGUCACACACACGUGUUUACGGUGGGCACCGCGACUCCGUGCCAUCGUCUGAGUCACACACGUGUUGACGGUGGGCACAGUGACUCCGUGCCAUCGUCUGAGUCACACACGUGUUGACGGUGGGCACCGCGACUCUGUGCCAUCGUCUGAGUCACACACGUGUUUACAGUGGGCACAGCGACUCCGUGCCAUCGUCUGAGUCACACACGUGUUCACGGUGGGCACAGCAACUCGGUGCCAUCAUCUGACAUUGGAUUGUGCAUCCACUUGUCCCACCUGCUGGUCACCCACCUCCAGAGAUGAAUUGAUAAAAGUGCUGCCUCCUUUGAGCUGGGCUGCAGGUGCCAAGCUGGAGAGCAUUUGCCCUCUCCCACUGCUGCUGAAACAGAU